This 139-nucleotide small nuclear RNA is filed under the name Ornithorhynchus anatinus (platypus). RNAcentral describes it as "U1 spliceosomal RNA (ENSOANG00000018740.2)". It matches the Rfam family "U1 spliceosomal RNA", at positions 21 to 166 of the family's 166-position model. Rfam says of the family: U1 is a small nuclear RNA (snRNA) component of the spliceosome (involved in pre-mRNA splicing). Its 5' end forms complementary base pairs with the 5' splice junction, thus defining the 5' donor site of an intron. The record is from RNAcentral. Lineage: Eukaryota; Metazoa; Chordata; Mammalia; Monotremata; Ornithorhynchidae.
AUCCCCUGAGCCACGGUGCUUCCCAGGGAGGGGCUCAUCCAUUGCGCUCCGGUUGUUUCGACCCCCACGAUUUCCCCAAAUGCGGGAAACUCAACGGUGGAAUGUGUAGUAGGGGGACCUGGGUUCUCCCUCUUCCCAA